Molecule: long non-coding RNA, 680 nt
Organism: Sitophilus oryzae (rice weevil)
Lineage: Eukaryota; Metazoa; Arthropoda; Insecta; Coleoptera; Curculionidae
Exons: 3
Source: RefSeq, a predicted model, not a curated record
AAAUAAUUAAAAUUUGCAUGUAAUUUUCCAUAAGAGAGAAUUUAUUUUUAAUUUUUAUAUAUUUAAAGGGCUUUUUAGUCACCCAAGUGGACUUUUUUUGAAAAAAUUGUAGUUUUUAAACAACACAAUUGAAAAACCGAUGCUAAUUUACAUCAUGGCAGCAAAAUAUGUAAUUAAAUUGAGCAAAAUUGUCAACUUUUUUAAAGACUAAGAAAAGCUCAUCAGCAGAGGUGAAAAUGCUGUUGAAUCUGGUCAUGUUACCAAUUUAAUUUCAGAUACUGAGCUUCAUCUUGUUACAGGAAAAGUUCACGCAAGCAUGAGGGAUCGUCAAUAUAAUCUUAAGAUUGAUUUUGAUACUGAUUGGGCUAUAAACUCAGCAAGUUGUAGCUGCCCCAGAGGUCAGCUAUGCUGAUAUUACAUUGCAGCACUACUUUUUGCUUGGGAUAAUAUUUCUAUUAGUGACAAGGAAUGUAUGUGGAGUAAACCAAAGCAAGUUAAAGAUCCUGCGGUCAAAAAUAUUAAUGAUUUAUACCCCACAAAAAAUCACAAAUUCUAUUUGGAACAUUAUAUUACAUUUUUAUUAGGGGAAAAACAUACAAGUAAUUAAUGUAUACCUAUAAUAAUACCUGUAAGAUUAUAUUGGUUUUUGGCAUAUUUUUAGUAGCACUUAGAAGUACAUA